CGCGUAGGCGGCCUUGUAAGUCCUGUGUGAAAUCCCCUGGCUCAACUAGGGAAUUGCACGGGAGACUGCUUGGCUUGAGUUCGGGAGAGGGAAGCGGAAUUCCGGGUGUAGCGGUGAAAUGCGUAGAUAUCCGGAGGAACACCGGUGGCGAAGGCGGCUUCCUGGACCGACACUGACGCUGAGGCGCGAAAGCUAGGGGGAGAAACG
This 207-nucleotide ribosomal RNA is filed under the name uncultured bacterium. RNAcentral's name for it is "partial 16S ribosomal RNA". It matches the Rfam family "Bacterial small subunit ribosomal RNA", at positions 568 to 774 of the family's 1533-position model. The record is from RNAcentral.